RNAcentral lists this ribosomal RNA (814 nucleotides) under Staphylococcus cohnii. Its description in RNAcentral is "bacterial SSU rRNA". It matches the Rfam family "Bacterial small subunit ribosomal RNA", at positions 70 to 868 of the family's 1533-position model. The record is from RNAcentral. Lineage: Bacteria; Bacillati; Bacillota; Bacilli; Caryophanales; Staphylococcaceae.
GAUAAGGAGCUUGCUCCUUUGACGUUAGCGGCGGACGGGUGAGUAACACGUGGGUAACCUACCUAUAAGACUGGAAUAACUCCGGGAAACCGGGGCUAAUGCCGGAUAACAUUUAGAACCGCAUGGUUCUAAAGUGAAAGAUGGUUUUGCUAUCACUUAUAGAUGGACCCGCGCCGUAUUAGCUAGUUGGUAAGGUAACGGCUUACCAAGGCAACGAUACGUAGCCGACCUGAGAGGGUGAUCGGCCACACUGGAACUGAGACACGGUCCAGACUCCUACGGGAGGCAGCAGUAGGGAAUCUUCCGCAAUGGGCGAAAGCCUGACGGAGCAACGCCGCGUGAGUGAUGAAGGUCUUCGGAUCGUAAAACUCUGUUAUUAGGGAAGAACAAAUGUGUAAGUAACUAUGCACGUCUUGACGGUACCUAAUCAGAAAGCCACGGCUAACUACGUGCCAGCAGCCGCGGUAAUACGUAGGUGGCAAGCGUUAUCCGGAAUUAUUGGGCGUAAAGCGCGCGUAGGCGGUUUCUUAAGUCUGAUGUGAAAGCCCACGGCUCAACCGUGGAGGGUCAUUGGAAACUGGGAAACUUGAGUGCAGAAGAGGAAAGUGGAAUUCCAUGUGUAGCGGUGAAAUGCGCAGAGAUAUGGAGGAACACCAGUGGCGAAGGCGACUUUCUGGUCUGUAACUGACGCUGAUGUGCGAAAGCGUGGGGAUCAAACAGGAUUAGAUACCCUGGUAGUCCACGCCGUAAACGAUGAGUGCUAAGUGUUAGGGGGUUUCCGCCCCUUAGUGCUGCAGCUAACGCAUUAAGCACU